UACGUAGGUGGCAAGCGUUGUUCGGAAUUAUUGGGCGUAAAGGGUGCGUAGGCGGUUCCGCAAGUCCUGUGUGAAAUCUUCGGGCUCAACUCGAAGUCUGCACGGGAAACUGCGGGGCUUGAGUGUGGGAGAGGUGAGUGGAAUUCCCGGUGUAGCGGUGAAAUGCGCAGAUAUCAGGAGGAACACCGGUGGCGAAGGCGGGUCUCUGGGCCGUUACUGACGCUGAGGAGCGAAAGCGUGGGGAGCGAACAGG
This 253-nucleotide ribosomal RNA is filed under the name uncultured bacterium. RNAcentral describes it as "partial 16S ribosomal RNA". It matches the Rfam family "Bacterial small subunit ribosomal RNA", at positions 524 to 776 of the family's 1533-position model. The record is from RNAcentral.